RNAcentral lists this ribosomal RNA (468 nucleotides) under uncultured bacterium. Its description in RNAcentral is "partial 16S ribosomal RNA". It matches the Rfam family "Bacterial small subunit ribosomal RNA", at positions 28 to 507 of the family's 1533-position model. The record is from RNAcentral.
GAUGAGCGCUGGCAGCAUGCUUAACACAUGCAAGUCGAACGGAAAGGCCGAAGCUUGCUUCGGUACUCGAGUGGCGAACGGGUGAGUAACACGUGGGUGAUCUGCCCUGUACUUCGGGAUAAGCUUGGGAAACUGGGUCUAAUACCGGAUAUGACGAUCUCUUGGAUGGGGUUGUGGAAAGCUUUUGCGGUAUGGGAUGAGCUCGCGGCCUAUCAGCUUGUUGGUGGGGUAAUGGCCUACCAAGGCGUCGACGGGUAGCCGGCCUGAGAGGGUGUACGGCCACAUUGGGACUGAGAUACGGCCCAGACUCCUACGGGAGGCAGCAAUGGGGAAUAUUGCACAAUGGGCGCAAGCCUGAUGCAGCGACGCCGCGUGGGGGAUGACGGCCUUCGGGUUGUAAACUCCUUUCGCAAUCGACGAAGCCUUUUGGUGACGGUAGGUUGAGAAGAAGCACCGGCUAACUACGUG